CAAUCAUAAAAGGUGGCUUUYAGCUACCACUURCAGAUGGACCCGCGGCGCAUUAGCUAGUUGGUGAGGUAACGGCUCACCAAGGCGACGAUGCGUAGCCGACCUGAGAGGGUGAUCGGCCACACUGGGACUGAGACACGGCCCAGACUCCUACGGGAGGCAGCAGUAGGGAAUCUUCCGCAAUGGACGAAAGUCUGACGGAGCAACGCCGCGUGAGUGAUGAAGGUUUUCGGAUCGUAAAACUCUGUUGUUAGGGAAGAACAAGUACCGUUCGAAUAGGGCGGCAC
RNAcentral lists this ribosomal RNA (287 nucleotides) under Bacillus sp. R-31307. Its description in RNAcentral is "partial 16S ribosomal RNA". It matches the Rfam family "Bacterial small subunit ribosomal RNA", at positions 195 to 478 of the family's 1533-position model. The record is from RNAcentral. Lineage: Bacteria; Bacillati; Bacillota; Bacilli; Caryophanales; Bacillaceae.